AACGAACGCUGGCGGCAUGCCUAACACAUGCAAGUCGAACGAGAACUUCGGGUCUAGUGGCGCACGGGUGCGUAACGCGUGGGAACCUGCCCUUAGGUUCGGAAUAACUCCCCGAAAGGGGUGCUAAUACCGGAUAAUGUCUUCGGACCAAAGAUUUAUUGCCUUUGGUUGGGCCCGCGUUGGAUUAGCUAGUUGGUAGGGUAAAAGCCUACCAAGGCGACGAUCCAUAGCUGGUUUGAGAGGAUGAUCAGCCACACUGAGACUGAGACACGGCCCAGACUCCUACGGGAGGCAGCAGUGGGGAAUAUUGGACAGUGGGCGAAAGCCUGAUCCAGCAAUGCCGCGUAAGUGAUGAAGGCCUUAGGGUUGUAAAGCUCUUUUACCCAGGAUGAUAAUGACGGUACCGAGAGAGUAAGCUCCGGCUAACUCCGUG
This 433-nucleotide ribosomal RNA is filed under the name uncultured bacterium. RNAcentral describes it as "partial 16S ribosomal RNA". It matches the Rfam family "Bacterial small subunit ribosomal RNA", at positions 29 to 507 of the family's 1533-position model. The record is from RNAcentral.